GGAUGAGCUUUUUUUGCAUGCGGCUGCAUUUUGUCUUUAUUAUUAUUUUUUACAUUGUUAUUUUAUUUCAUUAGUUAAUCCUUUGGAAUACGAAGAUCAAGGUUUCGAAUCCGAAGAAAAACUCAACGAACAAGAAUCAUUUACCGAAGAAUUGUCGGAAUUGUCGUCUGACAAUUAUGAUUCAGAUGCUGGACUUACAGAAGAGGAAGUAUUGUUGGAAAAAGCUACCGGCCAUGACAAGGACGCAGAAAAUGCAGUACAGAAAUCAACUUUGGUUUUACGCCUUCGCGAAGACAUCGACAGCUGCUUUGCACGAUUACUUAACAUCAUUCACGUGAGUAAAAUCAUAAU
Molecule: long non-coding RNA, 351 nt
Organism: Daktulosphaira vitifoliae (grape phylloxera)
Lineage: Eukaryota; Metazoa; Arthropoda; Insecta; Hemiptera; Phylloxeridae
Exons: 3
Source: RefSeq, a predicted model, not a curated record